CAGCGGUAGUCACUCGAAGCAACUCGCAGGUGAACGACGACGACAACGACAACGACGGCUGCUCCGUGUGUGCGUGUGAGUGUGUGUGUAUAAUGUAUGGCUGUGCGCGAUGCACUUCGAACCGCAGUAUGUCGGGUGAAACGGUGGCAGCUGCCCGGCAUCGUCAAAGUGGUGCCUGCUGAAUUGGGCCUAGUCUUUUGAUUACUUUUAUAAAUCCUCGUAUAACGCGAUAUAGUUACAGCAGAUGGAUUUAGAGCCGCACGAUUUGGUUGGCUUUUAAAUUAAGAAGCAGUAAGAGUGAGCUGUUCAUUUUGCGUCCUGUAUACGUGUAUCAUACAUGUAUAAGCGGCAGUGCUUCGGUAGUGUGCUUUUUAUUCAUGAAGCUGAGAAAAAUUCAGAAAUAAAGUGUUAAAAAAAAUUAGAUCAUUAUACAGUGACAGUGUGUCGAGACGCUUAGUUGUGCCACAUAUUAUUUUUUUAUGUGAUUGAAGUGCAAGCAAGAUUGAACAAGAGAAAAGCACAAAGAUCGAGCAAAAUUUCAUCAUUCGCGUAUUCCGCAAUCAGAGUCGCAAUUGUCCGUCAUCUCGAGAGUCAAUCGAGGUUUUGAGGUAUGCUACGAAGGAAAAAGUCAAAAAAGGCAAAAAAGAAUGAGGAAGAGGAAACAGAGUAUGAUUGUGUGUGUAUGGGCAGUCCAACGAGCCCAGAAGUGAAGAGAUAUCGAAUCAAAACCGAGCAACAACAACAACAGCACUAACGGCGGGGCCUCGAGCAGCAGUAUUAGCAGCAGCAG
Long non-coding RNA from Trichogramma pretiosum, 790 nucleotides. RefSeq lists it as uncharacterized. The transcript is spliced from 3 exons. The record is from RefSeq and is a predicted model, not a curated record. NCBI's taxonomy places the organism in Eukaryota, Metazoa, Arthropoda, Insecta, Hymenoptera, Trichogrammatidae.